Molecule: RNA transcript, 1352 nt
Organism: Momordica charantia (bitter melon)
Lineage: Eukaryota; Viridiplantae; Streptophyta; Magnoliopsida; Cucurbitales; Cucurbitaceae
Gene name: FAM50A-like protein
Source: RefSeq, a predicted model, not a curated record
GACAUUUCAAGCAAUCCUCCGUCGAUUCCGUGCGUCUGAAAUCAUACGACAUCCCUCUGGUCUCCCUCCCUAUAAAUAGCUUUCGCCUUCGUCUUUCUUCCCGGCGAAUUGUUUUUAUCAACGGGUGCAGAUCUUCAUUUGCGAAGGUUUGUAGACUGUUGGCAAGUCAUCUUCUGAAUUGUUUCUGAAAGUUGAAGUUUGCGAGAUGGGCAUGAAGCAGUGAUUAGCAUUUUGUUGCUUCGGAUCUAGACUUCUUUUAUAUUUUUCAUUUAUGCAGUUCCCGACCUUCCUCGAAAUGGAAAAUGUGCAAAAUAAGCAAGUUUGUGAGACAGAUGGUAGUUUUCCAAUGAAGCUAGUAGAUCAAGGAAAAGACUAUAGAAUAGACAAUGACAUCAUGACUCGUCGACUGAAGAAUCGAGAAAGGCAACGUAGAUAUAGAGCCCGAAAACGUCUAGAAGAAGAAAUAAAGAAGGCUUCAACUGUUAAACAACCCACUCAAACAGGAACAUAUUUUCAACCAAAUGGCAUUGCUAACAAUCCCUUGACUCGGGUGCAUUGUACCCGAAAUUGGAAGAAGGACGCGAGGAGCGUCCAUGUAUCUAGGGGGUUAGAAGCCUCUUGUAAUAGUUCUAAUAUGGCUGCAAGAACAUCAACCAGCGAGAGUCAGAUGCAGUGUUUACCCUCCAAUCCCGAACCACAGUUAGAAACGCAAUCACAUUUGGAGCCACCUGCUGAACAGCUUAUCUCUCAAACAGCGAAAAAGGUGCUUGGUCGAAGAAAUUGGAAAGCAGAUGCGAGAAAGAAGAAGAAUUGAAACGACGUGUUUUAGCAUUCUAAAAUUAUUGAUAACAUGAACGACAUUAUUGUUAUCAUUUGACCGCCGUAGCUGGGGAUGCCUGUGUGAUGUUAUUUCUGCAACAAACGUUCAACCGAUGGCAACGAAUGUUCCAUCAACGGCAAGAGGCCCUUUGAAGAAUUUUCACAUGAAGCUGAACAACUUUUGUAUGCAUAGAUUGGCGGAGAGAAACGAACUAGAAUUCUUCUGGUCGGGUUGUAUGCGGUCGGAUGCAUUUUCAAAUAUUUGAAUGAGUCGAUUCUUCUUCUCAAUACAGAAAUUAAAAAUUUUCAACUCCAAGCUAUACAAAUUCAGUUUUAAUAGAACUGUACGUUGAACAUUUCUAUCCUACAACCCUUCUAUUUAUUUAUUUAUUUUGAGUACAACAUGUGGGAGUGGAGAUCAAACUCGCAACCUUUUCGUUGGAGAUAUAUACCAAUUAUGCUGAGCUAUACUCGCUUUGGCUUCUCCAACACUUUUGUUGGGUUGUAUGUAUUUAUCCACUGCUAUAAGCUUU